AGAUUGAGAGGCUAGGAGGAAUUAAAUUUGCAGCAACCCAUUGGUUCUUUUCGGCUGAGUACAAUUCUUAUUAUAAGAGUGGAUAAAAAUAUUGAGGGCCAUUUGUGGAUAAAUGCAAAAGCUACAGAGAAGAGAUGUCCAAUAACUAAUUAAUGAAUACUUGGAGAGAGAGAAUUUUUCACUCACUCAGUUUACUACAGUUGUACCUGUAAUAUUCCACUUGGUGCCAGGCUCUAUAGAAACCAUCAAGAGACUGUUCCCCUUGACGAAUAUAUGUGGUUUUACUGAUAUACACUCCUAUAAAAAAACAAAACAAAACACAUUUUUUAAACAAAUAAGAAUAAAUUUAAACAUUUU
Pipistrellus kuhlii (Kuhl's pipistrelle) is the source of this 357-nucleotide long non-coding RNA. RefSeq lists it as uncharacterized. The transcript is spliced from 2 exons. The record is from RefSeq and is a predicted model, not a curated record. Lineage: Eukaryota; Metazoa; Chordata; Mammalia; Chiroptera; Vespertilionidae.